AGGAGAUCCUGCAAAGCAUUUGACUUUAUAACUUGCUCCAUCAGCAGUUCUACAGUGCCUGUCUGCGAUGGAUGAUGUGAAGGAAGGAUCCUCACUAAACUGUGGAAUGUCCAUUUCCUCCUGUCUGCCACUAGAAAGAGAUGCUUUGUGCUUGAGAGGAACAAAUACCUACAGUCCAGACAAGAAGUCUGAAUAAACUGGUACAGUGAGUGUAAAGUCCACCAGAGUUCACACCCUGAGAAAACAAUUGCAUCAAUGAUUCAUUCCAUUAAGCUGCUCUGCAGAUGUCAAGAUGUACACAUCAGUGUCUAGAUGAACUUUUAAAUAGCAACAAUUCUAUUUAAAUACUAAUAAAAACAACAAUUAAUAAAGAAUUUGGAAGUAGAGUAUAAAUUUGCCUACUUAAAAUAAUUUCAAGCCACCAUAUAAAAUGCAGUACUGACUUCUUAAUCUCAUUUAGUUAGCUGAAACUUGAAAUAUAGUGAGCUUCUGUAAAAGUAAAUUAUGUGGGAAGCAAUCUGAGAAGUAUCUUGUUUCCAGAUUAUUGGAAUAAGCUCAGAUUUACUCCAGGACACUUAAAGAACAGGCCAGAGGAAUUUCUCAGUGGUUUAUAGUUAUCUCUGAGGACUGGAACUGUUGCUAGAAGAUGAAAAAUGGGCAAACAGAGUGCCUGUGUUAAAAAGAAAGAGAGAGAGAGAAAGAAAGUAAACAAGAAUUUAGAGACUUUAGUUCCCCCCAAAAUUCUGCAGUAAGUUAUCCAACUACCUGCAUGAAGAUAACACAAAA
Molecule: long non-coding RNA, 786 nt
Organism: Gallus gallus (chicken)
Lineage: Eukaryota; Metazoa; Chordata; Aves; Galliformes; Phasianidae
Source: Ensembl